CCGAGGCUAUAAAUAGCCUUCUUAUGAAUAAUGGUCAGUUUCUGCCAACUUAUUGGGUGUGACAAUUAGUACAGCGCUAAAUGUGAGUGAUUUUGUACGCGUAUACUUAAAAAAUAUAAUGGAAGGGCGACAAAGGGAAGCCAAAACAUUGCAGAAAUACAAGAUUAUGCAUAACCAACAAACUUCUAAUGUCCCUAGAAACGAAAUGGUAUCAAUCUCUUCGUCGGGCGUCAACACGGGAAGAGAAUCGAACGCAUUACCUAAGGACCUGGUUAAAAGCUAUUUGCAAACUGUCUGCGAUCGCAAAAGGCCCUGCACUUUUUCUUCCUAUUAUGAAACAUCGGACUUUGAGAGCGUAGCUUCAAAAAAAAGACAUAAGGGUACUUCCGACGUCCAAAAACGAGUUUCCGGAGAUGGCGAACAAAUGGUACAAUUUGGAACGGGAAAGGCAAAGAUACCAACAAAGUUGUUGGAAGAUCUAGCUGGGUCUUCCUAUACCAUCGCAACUAGAAAGUUGUUGACAUCUGUUUUCUCUCGACAGGUACUUGCUACACAUUCUUUGACGGGAAAACGCUCUCCAGCAUUUCCUAAUAAGCCAGCUAGAUUGAAGUUGGAUCCAGUUCUCGUCGAUGACAUCGUGCGAACAGUCGUACGGAUUUGCAAGGUGCCGGCAAGUCUAGUAAGGAAAAGCAUCACGACAAAGUGUGCCGACGAGAGCAAAAUGCUACGUAGCCUGGCUAAGAAUAAAUAAUGGCAAUCGUCGAAGGGAAAUCAUUAAAUAUCUUCUGAUUCUACUGAGAUAGCAUUUCGACAAUGGAAGGUCCAUAAAGGUACUUGGAAAAACAAUGGUAUCAAUCACUUCAUCGGGCGUCAAUGUGGGAAGAGACACCAAUACAUUACCAAACUACCCGGUUAAAAGCGGCGAUCGCAAAAGGAUUUUAAUAGGUUGUACUUACAAACACGCACGAAUUUUAACUCAU
Long non-coding RNA from Pieris rapae (cabbage white), 980 nucleotides. RefSeq lists it as uncharacterized. The record is from RefSeq and is a predicted model, not a curated record. The transcript is spliced from 9 exons. Lineage: Eukaryota; Metazoa; Arthropoda; Insecta; Lepidoptera; Pieridae.